UGGGGAAUUUUGCACAAUGGGGGAAACCCUGAUGCAGCGACGCCGCGUGAUUUAGAAGGCCUUCGGGUUGUAAAAAUCUUUUCUAUGGGAAGAAAAUGACAGUACCAUAGGAAUAAGGACCGGCUAAUUACGUGCCAGCAGCCGCGGUAAUACGUAAGGUCCGAGCGUUGUCCGGAAUCAUUGGGCGUAAAGGGUACGUAGGCGGAUAAGCAAGUUAGAAGUGAAAUCCUAUAGCUCAACUAUAGUAAGCUUUUAAAACUGCUCAUCUUGAGGUAUGGAAGGGAAAGUGGAAUUCCUAGUGUAGCGGUGAAAUGCGCAGAUAUUAGGAGGAAUACCGGUGGCGAAGGCGACUUUCUGGCCAUAACCUGACGCUGAGGUACGAAAGCGUGGGUAGCAAACAGG
RNAcentral lists this ribosomal RNA (402 nucleotides) under bacterium. RNAcentral's name for it is "partial 16S ribosomal RNA". It matches the Rfam family "Bacterial small subunit ribosomal RNA", at positions 355 to 776 of the family's 1533-position model. The record is from RNAcentral. RNAcentral also lists the same sequence under 1 other name.